UUGCGAAUAAUUCAGUUGUAUGGGAAAGUACUGGCAAACGCUGUCAAUAAGAAAGGAAUCACAGCUCUCCAUCUACUAGCGGACAAGCCUUCGGCUUUCAAAAGCGGGAGUCUUCUUCUUCAUGGAUUCCGCAAAAGAAUCAUUUAUAACUGUAUAUUUAUUGAUGAGCACGAAGUGGAACAAAAUGUUGAUCACCCGAAAGAAGGGAAGGCGCUGGAUCAAUAUUUUCCCGAGAACUACAAAACUUGCAUCGGCUUCUUUCUAAUCUUUGGGGGUUUUUUUAGAUCAUUUGUACUGCCAGUACUCGCUAUGAUCAGAGGUAAG
Long non-coding RNA from Juglans regia (Persian walnut), 324 nucleotides. RefSeq lists it as uncharacterized. The record is from RefSeq and is a predicted model, not a curated record. The transcript has 3 exons. Lineage: Eukaryota; Viridiplantae; Streptophyta; Magnoliopsida; Fagales; Juglandaceae.